AUGAACGCUGGCGGCGUGCUUAACACAUGCAAGUCGAACGGAGUUUUUAACGGAAGUUUCGGAUGGAAGUUUAAGGACUUAGUGGCGGACGGGUGAGUAACGCGUGGGUGACCUGCCUCAUACAGGGGGAUAACAGUUAGAAAUGACUGCUAACACCGCAUAAUAUAGCGAAACCGCAUGAUUUUUGCUAUCAAAUAUUUAUAGGUAUGAGAUGGGCCCGCGUCUGAUUAGCUAGUUGGUGGGGUAAAAGCCUACCAAGGCGACGAUCAGUAGCCGGCUUGAGAGAGUGACCGGCCACAUUGGGACUGAGACACGGCCCAAACUCCUACGGGAGGCAGCAGUGGGGAAUAUUGGACAAUGGGGGAAACCCUGAUCCAGCGACGCCGCGUGAGUGAAGAAGUAUUUCGGUAUGUAAAGCUCUAUCAGCAGGGAAGAUAAUGACAGUACCUGACUAAGAAGCCCCGGCUAACCACGUGCCAGCCGCGGC
RNAcentral lists this ribosomal RNA (487 nucleotides) under uncultured bacterium. RNAcentral's name for it is "bacterial SSU rRNA". It matches the Rfam family "Bacterial small subunit ribosomal RNA", at positions 29 to 518 of the family's 1533-position model. The record is from RNAcentral.